GUCUUCUGCUAACUUAGUCUCAGUCAGAGCUUGCAUGGUGAAAGUUUCCUGUAACUGCCAUCAGUUCAGUAAAAUAUUUGCUAAAUGCAAAAAAUGUGGUUGCACUGGGUUUUGUUAAGUUUCUUAAUAAAGGGCAGUGCAUGUUCAGCCUUCAUAGUAACUCAGAUGUGACACAAAUAAUGCAGCAAAUAAUUACAAUGACCUUUUGCUCACCUCAAAUUUAAACAAAGGUUAAGCUGCCCUUUAGAAAAGUAAAUAUUUUCUGUAGUCUAAUAAGUGUAGACACCUUUAGAAACAAGGACGUAUUGCCAAACUAAACUAAAAUGAAAAUUGUUACAAUAGAAUAAUUUCAAAACAGAAAAGAUGCAAAUCUCUGCACCCAGCCAGACAUCCUGGCAUCGCAGGCAGUCCCUUACCUUGCAAAACUCCCAGGCUGAUCUCCAUAUGGUUUCCAAGAACUGUUGCUUGAAAUUUCUGUCCAGCCACAGCAGAUAGGAGAGAGAAAUAUUAAAAAUAAGAAAGUGCAUAAUCUCCUUGCCCCCUUAAAUCUAGUAAACAAUUUAUAUUUGAUUUCAUACAACAGAAUGAAUCCACGGACCUUUAAGUAAUUAAGAAACAGACACUGAGGCUUAAAAAAUAAACUUAAGGGAAAAUCUCACAUAGUGGCCAGGAAAUGGCUCAUAGGUUUUAUUUAGUUCUCAUAGUCCAAGGUUUAGCUGUUAGCUAGAUAAGAGCCAGGUGUGUUUUACACAUCUAAUUUGUUUAGUCUGAAGCUAAUUCAAACAGCGCUCUUUAACUACAAGUCUGCAAGUGACAUUUCAAAUCUAAAUCCAGGAUCAAUUCAUGUCACAUAUAUUGAGGGUCUCUCACUGGGAAGGAGCACUUCUGGGGAAGGACAUUCUCACUUUUUUUCUGGCAGCCUAGGAGUUCCUGCUGGAGAGGCAGCUCUGGUGCUGGGCACUGGGGCUCUGCACCCUGCAGAAGUGAGAAGGAUUUGGGCUCCUCCACACCUGCACAGGGAUGAGGCUCCACGGCUACCCGCCUGCAGCCAGAUGGCAAGGCCACAUCUGACAAUAAGGGAAUUGCAAAAUAUUUGGUGGGCAACCACUUUAUGCAUGGAAAAAGAUGAGGAAACUAGUACAGCAAUCUCCCUGAAGAGUCACCUUUGAAAGUGAUGUCUCUUCCUGAUGGACUCUUGACCCACUACUGUCCAGCUGCUGUUCACGUGGAUGCAAAUCCAGCAGCAUCAAUAUUACCAAACCUCAGAAGGAUAAAAACCUUCCUGAGUUGAGAGAUUUUUUUUUUCCAAAAUACAGGAUUUUCACCCCUCUGAACUAUUAAUCUGUUGUUUUGUUUGUUUUAGUGAUUUUUAUUUAUUUUAGUGAUUUUUAUUUAUUUAUUUAUUG
RNAcentral lists this long non-coding RNA (1406 nucleotides) under Anas platyrhynchos platyrhynchos (common mallard). RNAcentral describes it as "lncRNA (ENSAPLG00000016630.1)". The record is from RNAcentral. Lineage: Eukaryota; Metazoa; Chordata; Aves; Anseriformes; Anatidae.